GACAGAGGAUGCAAGCGUUAUCCGGAAUGAUUGGGCGUAAAGCGUCUGUAGGUGGCUUUUCAAGUCCGCCGUCAAAUCCCAGGGCUCAACCCUGGACAGGCGGUGGAAACUACCAAGCUGGAGUACGGUAGGGGCAGAGGGAAUUUCCGGUGGAGCGGUGAAAUGCGCAGAUAUCAGGAGGAACACCAAUGGCGAAGGCAGCUCGCUGGGACGGUACUGACGCUGAGACGCGAAAGCGUGGGGAGCAAACAGG
This 253-nucleotide ribosomal RNA is filed under the name uncultured bacterium. RNAcentral describes it as "partial 16S ribosomal RNA". It matches the Rfam family "Bacterial small subunit ribosomal RNA", at positions 524 to 776 of the family's 1533-position model. The record is from RNAcentral.